This 548-nucleotide ribosomal RNA is filed under the name Fusarium verticillioides. RNAcentral describes it as "eukaryotic LSU rRNA". The stretch from base 180 to 333 matches the Rfam family "5.8S ribosomal RNA". The record is from RNAcentral. Lineage: Eukaryota; Fungi; Ascomycota; Sordariomycetes; Hypocreales; Nectriaceae.
UUCCGUAGGUGAACCUGCGGAGGGAUCAUUACCGAGUUUACAACUCCCAAACCCCUGUGAACAUACCAAUUGUUGCCUCGGCGGAUCAGCCCGCUCCCGGUAAAACGGGACGGCCCGCCAGAGGACCCCUAAACUCUGUUUCUAUAUGUAACUUCUGAGUAAAACCAUAAAUAAAUCAAAACUUUCAACAACGGAUCUCUUGGUUCUGGCAUCGAUGAAGAACGCAGCAAAAUGCGAUAAGUAAUGUGAAUUGCAGAAUUCAGUGAAUCAUCGAAUCUUUGAACGCACAUUGCGCCCGCCAGUAUUCUGGCGGGCAUGCCUGUUCGAGCGUCAUUUCAACCCUCAAGCCCAGCUUGGUGUUGGGACUCGCGAGUCAAAUCGCGUUCCCCAAAUUGAUUGGCGGUCACGUCGAGCUUCCAUAGCGUAGUAGUAAAACCCUCGUUACUGGUAAUCGUCGCGGCCACGCCGUUAAACCCCAACUUCUGAAUGUUGACCUCGGAUCAGGUAGGAAUACCCGCUGAACUUAAGCAUAUCAAUAAGCGGAGGAA